AAAAAAAUUACACUGCUCAACAAGACUGGCGAUCAAAUCGCUCUAUUCUGAUGGCUUAUAUCCUCAUUGUUAACCCUGUAGGAAUGAGAAGGGCCGAUUACAGCGAAGGGAUCGAUGUCGCAGAAGUCUGAAAAGCUUCGCUUUGCAACCUAUCUGACAUGCUUCAUUUGACGAGAUGGAUAUACAAGUCGAGAGUUGUUAUAAAGUUGAGGAAUCUCUUUACUUGGUGGUCAUUUAUAGCCAAGCCAAAUACAAAUACAAGUUGAAUUAAUUGCAGCGUGUGAAAGCAGUAGCACAUUCACGUAAUGUGCCACCAUCUUUGCAAUGCAAAGCACUUCUUUCAGCCAGCUACGGAUAGGCGAAAGAUCGCAAUGUAUGCAAGUCCUUCCUGAUCAUGUGAACAAUAGUUAAUUUAAUCUACAGUCAGUUUUUCAAGACAGUACCUACCACCGAGGAUUGGACAAUUAAUCUGAUUCACUAUGUUCUUUUUUGCAGAAAUGCACAUUUGAAUACCUUCCUUUUACAUUUUUUGGCGAACUCUGUGAUGUAGUUGGUCUCUGGAAUUCAAUUGAAAUACCUUCCUUCAUUCAUGAUUUAUUGCUUUCAAUGCGUCAAUAUCUUUAAUUCAAUUCUGCCUCUUGUUACCAACGAAGAAGGAGACAAGUUCGGAAAAUCUGCUGGCGAUGGUAUUUGGCUGGACGAAGAAAAAACGUCGCCUUUUUCUCUUUAUCAAUUCUUUUUGAAAAUGCCAGAUUCUGAAGUCGAGAAUCUUCUCAAGUUGUUCACGUUGUUCAAGUUGUUUUAUCCCACUGGAAGAAAUUGCAUUUCUCAUUUAACAACACAAAAAAUCACAAACGAUUCUAGCUGAAGAUGUGACGCUUCUAGUCCAUUGAGAGGCGGGUCUAAAACAAGCCGAAAAAGUCACAGAAGCGCUCUACAAGGCAAAUUUUGAAGGACUAGGUGAACUGAAUUACAAUUAAAUCCUAUCGUUAAGAUUUUUCCAGAGCCUGGACUAUCCAAUCUUGAUCUGGCACUAAAAGCUUAAUGAUUUACAACAGAGACUGAUACGAUGAGAAUCAUCACCGCUGGAGGGUUCUAUAUCAAGCAAUAGCGAACUCAAAACUUCGCACUAACAUCACACUAACUCAUCAGCACUAACAUCACAUACCAUUUCUAUCUAUUAGUUCAAAAUGUUAAAUGUCUCCUUUUUGUUGGCAAUGAUGAGCAUAUGGAUAAAAACAAUUUGUUUUCAUUAAUAAUAAUAUUGUAUUCUUUUUUUUUAUAAAAAAAAAAAAUAAUUUGAAUCAUUAAACAUGUAGACUUCCUGGUUUGUUAAUCAUGUUUAUAUAUUUUUUUAAAUACUAUGAAAUUAAUUCAAAUAUGUUUUUAAAUUCCAUUCGGUACUCAAAUUUAUAAUUAGUGACAUAAUAUACAUACAUUUAAGGCUUUUUUAGGCUCACUAAAUUCAUGAAGUAGUUUUUUUUUUCCAAAAAAAAAUGUGAUGAUUUCCAAAUCUACAAUAUUUUUUUAAUAUUUCGCUUAAAUUUGUACUUUUCAUCUUGUAGUACAUUGAAUAAAUAAAAAAAUAAUGUUGAGAAAUGGUGUUCUUCAGUUUGAGCACAUGCAGCUAAAAUCGAAGUUUAGAUUCGUAAUCAGCAUCAAAAAUUAUCUCAAACGAACUAUUUAAAAUUUGUACAUUACCAUUUGUAUAUUCUUCAAAAUUCACUUGAUUCAACCGAAUUCAACCCCUGAAGCAAAAAGCACCAACAUCUUUAAAUUCAAAACAAAUUCCUUUAUUAUUAAAGUAAAGCAAAUCAUAAAUAAUUUUGAAUAAAAAUAAUCCUAGUCAGCAAAGAAACAGUAGAAUAUACAAUAUAUACAAAAUUACACUAUAGCUCAAAAUAAAUAAACAAGUUGUUUGCAAAAAAAGAUUAUUUUCUAGAUAUACAUAGAAAUAAAUUUAGGAACCUAGCUGUAAUAUACAUUUUAAAUAAAACCUAUAAUCUAUAA
This is a long non-coding RNA of Eupeodes corollae, 2010 nucleotides long. RefSeq lists it as uncharacterized. NCBI's taxonomy places the organism in Eukaryota, Metazoa, Arthropoda, Insecta, Diptera, Syrphidae. The transcript has 4 exons. The record is from RefSeq and is a predicted model, not a curated record.